GAUGAAGAACGUAGCGAAAUGCGAUAAGUAGUGUGAAUUGCAGAAUUCAGUGAAUCAUCGAGUCUUUGAACGCACAUUGCGCCCCCUGGUAUUCCGGGGGGCAUGCCUGUCCGAGCGUCAUUGCUGCCCUCAAGCACGGCUUGUGUGUUGGGCCUCCGUCCUCCUCCCGGGGGACGGGCCCGAAAGGCAGCGGCGGCACCGCGUCCGGUCCUCGAGCGUAUGGGGCUUCGUCACCCGCUCUUGUAGGCCCGGUCGGCGCUUGCCGACACAUCAAUCUUUUUUCCAGGUUGACCUCGGAUCAGGUAGGGAUACCCGCUGAACUUAAGCAUAUCAAUAAGCGGAGGA
This 345-nucleotide unclassified non-coding RNA is filed under the name soil metagenome. RNAcentral's name for it is "partial contains 5.8S ribosomal RNA, internal transcribed spacer 2, and large subunit ribosomal RNA". The stretch from base 1 to 120 matches the Rfam family "5.8S ribosomal RNA", at positions 35 to 154 of the family's 154-position model. The record is from RNAcentral.